CCCCACGUCACACGGAUUCGU
This 21-nucleotide ribosomal RNA is filed under the name Miscanthus sinensis (eulalia). RNAcentral describes it as "partial 25S ribosomal RNA". The record is from RNAcentral. Lineage: Eukaryota; Viridiplantae; Streptophyta; Magnoliopsida; Poales; Poaceae. RNAcentral also lists the same sequence under 1 other name.